This 439-nucleotide ribosomal RNA is filed under the name uncultured Sanguibacter sp. RNAcentral's name for it is "partial 16S ribosomal RNA". It matches the Rfam family "Bacterial small subunit ribosomal RNA", at positions 341 to 792 of the family's 1533-position model. Lineage: Bacteria; Bacillati; Actinomycetota; Actinomycetes; Micrococcales; Sanguibacteraceae. The record is from RNAcentral.
ACGGGAGGCAGCAGUGGGGAAUAUUGCACAAUGGGCGCAAGCCUGAUGCAGCGACGCCGCGUGGGGGAUGAAGGCCUUCGGGUUGUAAACCCCUUUCAGCAGGGAAGAAGCGCAAGUGACGGUACCUGCAGAAGAAGCGCCGGCUAACUACGUGCCAGCAGCCGCGGUAAUACGUAGGGCGCAAGCGUUGUCCGGAAUUAUUGGGCGUAAAGAGCUCGUAGGCGGUUUGUCGCGUCUGGUGUGAAAACUCAAGGCUCAACCUUGAGCUUGCACCGGGUACGGGCAGACUAGAGUGCGGUAGGGGUGACUGGAAUUCCUGGUGUAGCGGUGGAAUGCGCAGAUAUCAGGAGGAACACCGAUGGCGAAGGCAGGUCACUGGGCCGCAACUGACGCUGAGGAGCGAAAGCAUGGGGAGCGAACAGGAUUAGAUACCCUGGUA